This 380-nucleotide ribosomal RNA is filed under the name uncultured archaeon. RNAcentral's name for it is "bacterial SSU rRNA". It matches the Rfam family "Archaeal small subunit ribosomal RNA", at positions 473 to 853 of the family's 1478-position model. The record is from RNAcentral.
AUACCAGCUCUCCGAGUGGUGUGGACGUUUAUUGGGCCUAAAGCAUCCGUAGCUGGCUGAACAAGUCCCCUGUUAAAUCCACCGACUUAAUCGUUGGCGUGCGGGGGAUACUGCUCGGCUAGGGGACGAGAGAGGCAGACGGUAUUCUCGGGGUAGGGGUGAAAUCCUAUAAUCCCGGGAAGACCACCAGUGGCGAAGGCUGUCUGCUAGAACGCGCCCGACGGUGAGGGAUGAAAGCUGGGGGAGCGAACCGGAUUAGAUACCCGGGUAGUCCCAGCUGUAAACGAUGCAGACUAGGUGUUUGGACGGCCACGUGCCGUUCUAGUGCCGCAGGGAAGCUGUUAAGUCUGCCGCCUGGGGAGUACGAUCGCAAGAUUGAA